Rhododendron vialii is the source of this 532-nucleotide long non-coding RNA. RefSeq lists it as uncharacterized. The record is from RefSeq and is a predicted model, not a curated record. NCBI's taxonomy places the organism in Eukaryota, Viridiplantae, Streptophyta, Magnoliopsida, Ericales, Ericaceae. The transcript has 3 exons.
AGUUGAAUGACAUACGCCUCUUCGAGAAUCACCACAGCCUUCGAACAUAAAGGUUGCAUAGGCUACUCUUAGAUUAGCAACCUUGAGGGAAACAAGAGAGCAUUUCAACGGUAACACCGUCUGAUGCCAUACGCAAUUCACACGCCACAAAUAGUUGUUUGUGAUUAGGUUUGAAUGGAAGGAUGACUGCACACAAAAUUACUCAUCGAAGGGCAUCGAAAACCAGCCACAUCUACCAGUUCAUAGAUUUUCAACACAACGACGUCGUUUGGAAAAAAAAAAACCGAAUGGAGAGACGACGUCUGCCAGGCAAAAUCAUGACAGAGGAUCCGCAACUAAGGGCCUAAGCUGUCCUACCCUUCUGAUUAUCAGAUGCAACACUUCACCUUCAAAAUGGAAACCUAUUCUGCCUGGUUUGUUUAGAUUUAAUGUCAUUGGAUCUUCUCCCGGCUAGGUCUUGCUGGUGUAGCUGGAAUUUUCUGAAUUAUGAGGUUACACAAGUUCCUUUAGUCUCAUCAUUCUUUGAUUCUUU